This 224-nucleotide long non-coding RNA is filed under the name Lathyrus oleraceus (garden pea). RNAcentral's name for it is "Pisum sativum (pea) long non-coding RNA (PSAT_LNC013952)". Lineage: Eukaryota; Viridiplantae; Streptophyta; Magnoliopsida; Fabales; Fabaceae. The record is from RNAcentral.
UGAUUAGGAUCAAUUAAAGGUAUGGACUCUUGGAGUUUCAAUCUCAAAACAAAUGGAGAAUUGAAACUCGAUUUUCAAAGAAAAUAUUCAAGCUUAUCCUUCAAUGGUGAGGGUUUGAGGUUGUAGGUUCAAAGCUUGGGCAUGAGGUCCUUAAUUCUGAGCAAUUAGGGUCUUACUUAUAGGCCAUGAGAUUGAUUUCCACACACUUCCAAUUUUGGAAAAAU